AUCAGACAGUUCUUAGAAGAUCCAAGUGUGAAGAGCAAGAGACAAAACAUAACACAGAGCAGUCAUGCCGUACGUGUAGCAAAGGUUGUUUGUCAACGUCUGCAUUUCGUCUGCUGAGAAGUUGUUCUCAUCCCAGAGGACAUGGUAGUGAGCUGGCCUACUUGUUCCCUGGUGAGAGAACUCACACAUCAGUCAUUUCGUCAAUCACAAGAGGGUGGAGAAUCUGGGGUAAAUAUUCCCAUACUUCUAGUACAGCACUUUUGCAGGUAACUAGGUGCAGUGAGAGCUUUGUUGAAAAGAGAGUACCAAGUCUAUUCAAAUGCUUGACCACAAAGGCACGGGACCAGAGCAACGACAAAUUCAGUAUUUGUCAGCCGUCAGCAAGGACCAGUACAAUAUUCUUACCUGGAUUCCAGCGUGACUACAGAGGUAGAAAUCAAACUCCGUUGGGUGGCAUAUCUUCGAAUCAACAACAGUUCCUGUAAUUUUUCCCAAGCAAUUAGUCCUUGUAUUACCAAGACAAUGGAAAUACAUAUUACAUACAGUAUCUUAUACACACACAAAAAUAGUGUCCUACAAUGAGCACACCCAAAUUUCCUUUCUGAAAAUUAUUUAGCUUACCCAAAUUGUGUUUCAAUAGUUUCAACAAACUGUGGUUCUGAACGCAUAUCAUGAAAAAGUAGUUCUCCCUCCAA
This is a long non-coding RNA of Aegilops tauschii subsp. strangulata, 695 nucleotides long. RefSeq lists it as uncharacterized. The record is from RefSeq and is a predicted model, not a curated record. Lineage: Eukaryota; Viridiplantae; Streptophyta; Magnoliopsida; Poales; Poaceae.